Molecule: long non-coding RNA, 886 nt
Filed under: Ananas comosus (pineapple)
Lineage: Eukaryota; Viridiplantae; Streptophyta; Magnoliopsida; Poales; Bromeliaceae
Description: long non-coding RNA (ACOM_LNC013859)
Source: RNAcentral
GUGAGGCUUAUAUUCUCCUUGAAGCACGGAGGCUCCGUAUUUUCAGGUCGUUUUUUAUAUUGCGAUUUUCGAAUCGUCGAUCGAUUCUGUUAAACUUGAUCUACAGUAUUUAAAAUAUUUAAAAAAUAAAUUAUAUUAUUAAAAUGUUAGAUUAGGUUCAAAAUCAACGGGUAAAAAUAAAAAUCUUACAAAGCGUGAUAAUAUGAUAUUAAAAUUUUAGAUCAAAAAUAUUAAUCUUGUUUUAUAUAGUAUAAAAAAUUUUCUAUCAAAAUUUCACGUGAUUUGAAUAUUUCUAUACCAUUAAAUUUGCAAACAGCUUACUACGGUCAUUAAAAUUAUUGAUUUUGAGCCCCUUCGAUCACUAGGCGAAUGAUAUCGAAAAAUCAUAAAAUUUAUUUUCUAGAUACUUCACAUACUUUAGAUCAAAUUUAACGGAGCCGAUCGACGAUUCGAAAGUAGCAAUAUUGAAAAUAAUCUGAAAGUACGGAAGGCUAUAUACUUCUAGAAGCAUAGUAGUCUCACUCUAUAAAAUAUUAUCAAAAGUAUGGUAAAAAAAUUAUUUUAUUACUAUUACUAGUCAUAAUAGGGUGAAUGAACUUAAAAAGUUUAUCUAAUUAGUUAAAAACAUGGCAUCGACACACUCAACAAUUUGUAUACAUGAAUCUAUAUAUAAGUCUCCAUACAAGAUGUAUCUAAAUUCUACGAUAAUUAGAAUUCUUACUCCAAAUAAUAUUUAAAUUUAUAUUUAAUUUAUCUUAAAUAAAUUUAAAUAUUUAUCUUAAUAUAGUUAGAUUUAUCCUCUAAUUAAAAUUUAAAUCUUAAUUUAUUUUAAAUAAAUUUUAAAUAUUAAUACUUAUCUACCUAGAAAAUCUAAAUCUAACCAACA